GCUGCGGUGUCCGAGUGGUUAAGGAGAUGGACUUGAAAUCCAUUGGGUUCUACCCGCGCAGGUUCGAAUCCUGUCCACAGCG
Molecule: non-coding RNA, 82 nt
Organism: Aphidius gifuensis
Lineage: Eukaryota; Metazoa; Arthropoda; Insecta; Hymenoptera; Braconidae
Source: the annotation of a RefSeq genome assembly